UUAACUCACUAGAAAGUUCAGGUGACCACUUUGAAGCUGGGCAAUUGUACUGUGGUAUAUGAUGUGUCCCAAUGUGAAUUUGUGUGAUCACAAUUUUGGUGUAUGAAUAUCCAUAAAAUUUUGGAAGUUCUUGAUUUUAUAAUUAUGAAAAUUUAUGAUUCCAUAAUUGAGCAUUUUAUUCAAAAGUUUAGUCUCUUUAUUGGACUAUCAAUUGCUCAAACAGCAAAUUGAUGAUGCUAAUGCGUAUCGUAUGCAUUGCAUAUCUAAUAGAACUAGUCUGAUUGAUUCUCCUUUGAUUUCAGGUGCAGAUGUGAAAUCAAA
RNAcentral lists this unclassified non-coding RNA (321 nucleotides) under Hevea brasiliensis (rubber tree). Lineage: Eukaryota; Viridiplantae; Streptophyta; Magnoliopsida; Malpighiales; Euphorbiaceae. The record is from RNAcentral.